Molecule: transfer RNA, 87 nt
Filed under: Bornetia secundiflora
Lineage: Eukaryota; Rhodophyta; Florideophyceae; Ceramiales; Wrangeliaceae
Description: tRNA-Ser
Rfam family: tRNA
About the family: Transfer RNA (tRNA) molecules are approximately 80 nucleotides in length. Their secondary structure includes four short double-helical elements and three loops (D, anti-codon, and T loops). Further hydrogen bonds mediate the characteristic L-shaped molecular structure. tRNAs have two regions of fundamental functional importance: the anti-codon, which is responsible for specific mRNA codon recognition, and the 3' end, to which the tRNAs corresponding amino acid is attached (by aminoacyl-tRNA synthetases). tRNAs cope with the degeneracy of the genetic code in two manners: having more than one tRNA (with a specific anti-codon) for a particular amino acid; and 'wobble' base-pairing, i.e. permitting non-standard base-pairing at the 3rd anti-codon position.
Source: RNAcentral
GGAGAGGUGGCUGAGUGGUCUAAAGCGGCAGAUUGCUAAUCUGUUGUAUAUUUUUUUAUACCGAGGGUUCGAAUCCCUUCCUCUCCU